UGCUAUAUUUCUCUUUUGUAGGUGGCCUCUUCCUCAUUCCUUGUCUUCUUUUCUUCAAAAACUUCUUAAACUUUCUAGUAAUGAGGGCCAUUUCUUCAUCCUGCUCUUUAUUUUCUGUAUCAUCGGAUUCUUCAUCAGGUUGAGCAGUGGAUUUGAGGAUGAUUAUCCUCUUCUUUUUGACAUCUUCUUCUUGGUGUUGUUUCAUGCUUAGCUCAUGUAUCAUCAGCGACCUAGAAGCUCCUCCAAGGAUAGGAUAUUCAGAUCUUUGGCUUCUUGGAUUGCGGUCAUUUUGGCC
RNAcentral lists this long non-coding RNA (295 nucleotides) under Elaeis guineensis (African oil palm). Its description in RNAcentral is "long non-coding RNA (EGUI_LNC073467)". Lineage: Eukaryota; Viridiplantae; Streptophyta; Magnoliopsida; Arecales; Arecaceae. The record is from RNAcentral.